UACGUAGGGUGCGAGCGUUGUCCGGAAUUAUUGGGCGUAAAGAGCUCGUAGGCGGUGUGUCACGUCGUUCGUGAAAACCUGCAGCUUAACUGUGGGCGUGCGGUCGAUACGGGCAUCACUGGAGUUCGGCAGGGGAGACUGGAAUUCCUGGUGUAGCGGUGAAAUGCGCAGAUAUCGAGAGGAACACCUGCGGCGAAGGCGGGUUGCUGGGCUGAUACUGACGCUGAUGCGCGAAAGCCAGGGGAGCGAACGGG
This 254-nucleotide ribosomal RNA is filed under the name uncultured bacterium. Its description in RNAcentral is "partial 16S ribosomal RNA". It matches the Rfam family "Bacterial small subunit ribosomal RNA", at positions 524 to 776 of the family's 1533-position model. The record is from RNAcentral.